UACAGAGGGUGCGAGCGUUAAUCGGAAUUACUGGGCGUAAAGCGUGCGCAGACGGUCACGUAAGUCGGGUGUGAAAGCCCCGGGCUCAACCUGGGAAUUGCAUUCGAGACUGCGUGGCUAGGGUGCGGAAGAGGGAAGCGGAAUUUCCGGUGUAGCGGUGAAAUGCGUAGAUAUCGGAAGGAACACCAGUGGCGAAAGCGGCUUCCAUGGUCCGCACCGACGUUCAGGCACC
Molecule: ribosomal RNA, 232 nt
Filed under: uncultured bacterium
Lineage: Bacteria
Description: partial 16S ribosomal RNA
Rfam family: Bacterial small subunit ribosomal RNA
Source: RNAcentral